ACGAUUACUCCUACGGGAGGCAGCAGUGGGGAAUUUUGGACAAUGGGCGAAAGCCUGAUCCAGCCAUUCCGCGUGAGUGAAGAAGGCCUUCGGGUUGUAAAGCUCUUUCGCAAGGAAAGAAAACUCAUUUCCUAAUACGAGAUGAGGAUGACGGUACCUUGACAAGAAGCACCGGCUAACUACGUGCCAGCAGCCGCGGUAA
This 202-nucleotide ribosomal RNA is filed under the name uncultured Methylobacillus sp. Its description in RNAcentral is "partial 16S ribosomal RNA". It matches the Rfam family "Bacterial small subunit ribosomal RNA", at positions 329 to 523 of the family's 1533-position model. Lineage: Bacteria; Pseudomonadati; Pseudomonadota; Betaproteobacteria; Nitrosomonadales; Methylophilaceae. The record is from RNAcentral.